GCCUUUUCAGAUUUACAUGACAGGUUUAUUUCAUUAUCCAGAGGUAAGUCAAGGUGCAUCUUGUCCUCAAAGUCAAUUAAUAUUUACUGAGCCACCACUGACUGCCAGGCAUGGUUGAAAGGGGUGUUCACAUUCCCUUUCCUGUGGGUCUCAGGCCUCCCCCCAGAUGACCCAGAAUCAUCAGGAUAUGAUGCUUUAAGGACGGAGUUGAAGUGGAGAUGUGUGACAACAAACCUGAUCCAUGUUCUCUGUAUCGGCUUAGGGAACAGUAUUCAACCCCUUGUGCCUGUCUUGGGCUGGGAGCCAGAGCCAGCCAAGGAGUCUGGCUGUUGGGCUCUUAGCUUCUUUAAGGAACAAAUCAGGUCCUGAGAACCUAGCUUGAUUGACCACAGUGUCUGACACAAAGUAGAAACUUAUAAACUGAUGGCUGUGUUUAUAACUUUUAAAAAGGAAUGGCAGAAAAAGGUGGCUGAGAGACCAAGUUUCCCUUUGGGGCCUGUUCUGAGAGAGAGGGGGAUAAUGGAAGCAGAUGCUACAGGUGUCGCAACCUUUAGGAGCACCCACAUAAACAUCAUAUAAGAAAAAAUGAGACAAGUGUCUCCCUACGUUCACCUAGGCCCCUUAUGGAAGAGGAAGAAGGGAGUGGCUGACUCUGGAGGAAUUCAACCAAAGCAAGUGUAAAUGGAUUGUCAUUUGGGCUGUAGUUUGACUGAUAAGGAAAGAAAACCUGACCUGGGCAAGGAGCAUGGGCCUGUGUGGUCCCCUCCUAGGCCAGAGCACUUUCCCUCCUUCCCUCGCACCUGUUCCUACACACACACAUCCCUGAAUGCCACCCCACUCCUACCCAGAAGACUAUUGACUCUGCCUCCUUUUCCUGGAGGUGUUUCUAGGGCUUCAGCCUGAGAACCCAUUCUGAGUUUGUUCCAUCUGUACAAUACCAGAGGCUGUGUGGGAAGGGAUCUCCCCAAUUACCUUAAAUGACUUUGAUAGGGAAAAUGGAAUGAGGAAUGGGGCAGAAACUGACAGACAGCCAGCUCCUGCCAGCCCUGGUGGACCUGAGAUUCAGAGGCCCUGCGCCCCCUACUGGUCCCUCUUUUGUCUUCCUCUCCAGGAGGCUUCCGGAGCCUUCCUUCUCGCCCCAGAGACCUGCUUCACUCUUUUUAAUCCUUUGCCUUUGGAACUAGCCUGGAGUUGCUCCCUCCUCAUACCAUGACCUGGGCUUUCUCCUUCCUGACAAAAACCUAACCCAGUCCUUUGAAGAAGCUGGGGACACCUGCACUGGCAUUGCUUAGGUAUCAGUGCCACCUGAGGAAAACUUGACCUGGGCAAGGAGCAUGGGCCUGUGUGGUCCCCUCCUAGGCCAGAAGUCUUUUCCCUCCUUCCCUGGCACCUGUUCCUGCACACACAGCCUCACUUCCUUUCCCCACCUCAGCCUGCACUCAGGUCUGCCAGGUCGGUGCUGCUGCUGCCUCCCAGAGCAGCUUCCAACCUCCAGUUCUUCCUCUUCCCCUCUCCCACUGAAGAAACAUAUCCUUACAGGGCCCCUGGGGUCCACCAGCCUUGCUCUUCCACACUAGCCCUCCAUUGCACUCCAGACUUGGCCAAGAAUACUCUCCUUUUCUCUUUCCAAAUCUUAUCCACUUAGCAAGUUCUGAUAGCUCCAGAGUUUACAACCCAUCCCAUCCCAUCCCCAGUGUGCCCUCCCCUGAGGCUCCUGCUGCCAGGCCACUAGCUGUGCC
Molecule: long non-coding RNA, 1739 nt
Filed under: Marmota monax (woodchuck)
Lineage: Eukaryota; Metazoa; Chordata; Mammalia; Rodentia; Sciuridae
Source: RNAcentral